Molecule: ribosomal RNA, 440 nt
Filed under: uncultured bacterium
Lineage: Bacteria
Description: partial 16S ribosomal RNA
Rfam family: Bacterial small subunit ribosomal RNA
Source: RNAcentral
CCUACGGGUGGCAGCAGUAGGGAAUAUUGCUCAAUGGGCGAAACCCUGAACCAGCAACGUCGCGUGGAGGAUGACGGCCCUCGGAUUGUUAACCUUCUUUUUUAGAGAAGUAAAUGACGGCACCUAUCGAAUAAGCUCUGGCUAAUUCCGUGCCAGCAGCCGCGGUACUACGGAGGGUGCAAGCGUUAUUCGGAAUCACUGGGCGUAAAGGGCGCGUAGGCGGGUUAGCAAGUCAGUUGUGAAAUCCUAUGGCUUAACCAUAAAAUUGCAUUUGAAACUGGUAGUCUAGAGUAUAGGAGAGGUAGGUGGAAUUCGUGGUGUAGGGGUAAAAUCCGUAGAGAUCAAGAAGAAUACUCAUUGCGAAGGCGACCUGCUAGAACGUAACUGACGCUGAUGCGCGAAAGCGUGGGGAGCAAACAGGAUUAGAUACCCCUGUAGUC